This 253-nucleotide ribosomal RNA is filed under the name uncultured bacterium. RNAcentral's name for it is "partial 16S ribosomal RNA". It matches the Rfam family "Bacterial small subunit ribosomal RNA", at positions 524 to 776 of the family's 1533-position model. The record is from RNAcentral.
UACGUAGGGUGCAAGCGUUAAUCGGAAUUACUGGGCGUAAAGCGUGCGCAGGCGGUUUUGUAAGUCUGUCGUGAAAUCCCCGGGCUCAACCUGGGAAUUGCGAUGGAGACUGCAAGUCUAGAAUCUGGCAGAGGGGGGUAGAAUUCCACGUGUAGCAGUGAAAUGCGUAGAUAUGCGGAGGAACACCGAUGGCGAAGGCAAUCCCCUGGGCCUGCACUGACACUCAUGCACGAAAGCGUGGGGAGCAAACAGG